GAUGAACGUUAGCGGCAGGCUUAAUACAUGCAAGUCGAGGGGGCAGCAGGUUUGUAGCAAUACAGAUGCUGGCGACCGGCAAACGGGUGCGGAACACGUACACAACCUUCCUUUAAGUGGGGAAUAGCCCAGAGAAAUUUGGAUUAAUACCCCGUAACAUUAUGAUGUGGCAUCACAUUAUAAUUAUAGCUCCGGCGCUUAAUGAUGGGUGUGCGGCUGAUUAGAUAGUUGGCGGGGUAACGGCCCACCAAGUCUGCGAUCAGUAACUGGUGUGAGAGCACGACCAGUCACGACGGGCACUGAGACACCGGGCCCGACUCCUACGGGAGCAGCAGUAAGG
Molecule: ribosomal RNA, 340 nt
Filed under: uncultured bacterium
Lineage: Bacteria
Description: bacterial SSU rRNA
Rfam family: Bacterial small subunit ribosomal RNA
Source: RNAcentral